This 332-nucleotide unclassified non-coding RNA is filed under the name soil metagenome. RNAcentral describes it as "partial contains 5.8S ribosomal RNA, internal transcribed spacer 2, and large subunit ribosomal RNA". The stretch from base 1 to 120 matches the Rfam family "5.8S ribosomal RNA", at positions 35 to 154 of the family's 154-position model. The record is from RNAcentral.
GAUGAAGAACGUAGCGAAAUGCGAUAAGUAAUGUGAAUUGCAGAAUUCAGUGAAUCAUCGAAUCUUUGAACGCACAUUGCGCCCCCUGGUAUUCCGGGGGGCAUGCCUGUUCGAGCGUCAUUUCACCACUCAAGCCUCGCUUGGUAUUGGGCAACGCGGUCCGCCGCGUGCCUCAAAUCGACCGGCUGGGUCUUCUGUCCCCUAAGCGUUGUGGAAACUAUUCGCUAAAGGGUGUUCGGGAGGCUACGCCGUAAAACAACCCCAUUUCUAAGGUUGACCUCGGAUCAGGUAGGGAUACCCGCUGAACUUAAGCAUAUCAAUAAGCGGGAGGA